GAUGAACGCUGGCGGCGUGCCUAAUACAUGCAAGUCGAGCGAACGGACGAGAAGCUUGCUUCUCUGAUGUUAGCGGCGGACGGGUGAGUAACACGUGGAUAACCUACCUAUAAGACUGGGAUAACUUCGUGAAACCGGAGCUGAUACUGGCUAAUAUUUUGAACCGCAUGGUUCAAAAGUGAAAGACGGUCUUCCUGUCACUUAUAGAUGGAUCCGCGUUGCAUUAGCUAGUUGGUAAGGUAACGGCUUACCAAGGCUACGAUGCAUAGCUGACCUGAGAGGAUGAUCGGCCACACUGGAACUGAGACACGGUCCAGACUCCUACGGGAGGCAGCAGUAGGGAAUCUUCCACAAUGGGCGAAAGCCUGACGGAGCAACGCCGCGUGAGUGAUGAAGGUCUUCGGAUCGUAAAACUCUGUUAUUAGGGAAGAACAUAUGUGUAAGUAACUGCGCACAUCUUGACGGUACCUAAUCAGAAAGCCACGGCUAACUACGUG
Molecule: ribosomal RNA, 497 nt
Filed under: uncultured bacterium
Lineage: Bacteria
Description: partial 16S ribosomal RNA
Rfam family: Bacterial small subunit ribosomal RNA
Source: RNAcentral